Molecule: small nuclear RNA, 21 nt
Filed under: Arabidopsis thaliana (thale cress)
Lineage: Eukaryota; Viridiplantae; Streptophyta; Magnoliopsida; Brassicales; Brassicaceae
Description: snRNA_02912
Source: RNAcentral
ACUAUCCAGCGAAACCACAGC